GGGGAAUAUUGACAAUGGGGGAAACCCUGAUGCAGCGACGCCGCGUGAGUGAAGAAGUAUUUCGGUAUGUAAAGCUCUAUCAGCAGGGGAAGAUAAUGACGGUACCUGAGUAAGAAGCCCCGGCUAACUAC
RNAcentral lists this ribosomal RNA (131 nucleotides) under uncultured bacterium. RNAcentral's name for it is "partial 16S ribosomal RNA". It matches the Rfam family "Bacterial small subunit ribosomal RNA", at positions 356 to 504 of the family's 1533-position model. The record is from RNAcentral.